CAGUAGCCGCGGUAAUACGUAGGCGGCAAGCGUUGUCCGGAAUUAUUGGGCGUAAAGCGCGCGCAGGCGGCCUAUCCAGUCUGUCUUAAAAGUUCGGGGCUCAACCCCGUGAUGGGAUGGAAACUAGUAGGCUAGAGUAUCGGAGAGGAAAGCGGAAUUCCUAGUGUAGCGGUGAAAUGCGUAGAUAUUAGGAAGAACACCAGUGGCGAAGGCGGCUUUCUGGACGAAAACUGACGUUGAGGCGCGAAAGCCAGGGGAGCGAACGGGAUUAGAUACCCCUGUAGUCCCUGUCUCUUAUACA
Molecule: ribosomal RNA, 301 nt
Filed under: uncultured bacterium
Lineage: Bacteria
Description: partial 16S ribosomal RNA
Rfam family: Bacterial small subunit ribosomal RNA
Source: RNAcentral